Molecule: ribosomal RNA, 468 nt
Filed under: uncultured bacterium
Lineage: Bacteria
Description: partial 16S ribosomal RNA
Rfam family: Bacterial small subunit ribosomal RNA
Source: RNAcentral
GACGAACGCUGGCGGCGUGCUUAACACAUGCAAGUCGAACGGAAAGGCCCUGCUUUUGUGGGUUGCUCGAUUGGCGAACGGGUGAGUAACACGUGAGUAACCUGCCCUUGACUUUGGGAUAACUUCAGGAAACUGGGGCUAAUACCGGGUAUGAGCUCCUGCUGCAUGUUGGUGGUUGGAAAGUUUCGGCUGUUGUGGAUGGUCUCGCGGCUUAUCAGCUUGGUGGUGGGGUAGUGGCUUACCAAGGCUUUGACGGGUAGCCGGCCUGAGAGGGUGACCGGCCACAUGGGGACUGAGAUACGGACCAGACUCCUACGGGAGGCAGCAGGGGGGAAUAUGGCACAAUGGGCGGAAGCCUGAUGCAGAAACGCCGCGUGCGGGAUGACGGGCUUUGGGUGGUAAACCGAUUUGGACGGUGACGAAGAGUGAGUGACGGUAAUGGGUAAAGAAGCAACGGCUAACUACGUG